Molecule: small RNA, 29 nt
Filed under: Bombyx mori (domestic silkworm)
Lineage: Eukaryota; Metazoa; Arthropoda; Insecta; Lepidoptera; Bombycidae
Description: ovarian small RNA-29183
Source: RNAcentral
UCGUAGUGGUUUCCCCUUGCCUUGUACGC